RNAcentral lists this ribosomal RNA (276 nucleotides) under uncultured bacterium. RNAcentral's name for it is "partial 16S ribosomal RNA". It matches the Rfam family "Bacterial small subunit ribosomal RNA", at positions 79 to 354 of the family's 1533-position model. The record is from RNAcentral.
CUUUCUCCGCCGGCGACCGGCGCACGGGUGAGUAACACGUAUGCAACCUGCCCCUGUCAGGGGGACAACCCGCCGAAAGGCGGGCUAAACCCGCGUACAUGCCACCGGGGCAUCCCGGCGGCAGGAAAGGCUUCGGCCGGACAGGGAUGGGCAUGCGGCGCAUUAGGCAGUAGGCGGGGUAACGGCCCACCUAACCGACGAUGCGUAGGGGUUCUGAGAGGAAGGUCCCCCACACUGGUACUGAGACACGGACCAGACUCCUACGGGAGGCAGCAG